This 464-nucleotide ribosomal RNA is filed under the name uncultured bacterium. Its description in RNAcentral is "bacterial SSU rRNA". It matches the Rfam family "Bacterial small subunit ribosomal RNA", at positions 28 to 492 of the family's 1533-position model. The record is from RNAcentral.
GAUGAACGCUGGCGGCGUGCUUAACACAUGCAAGUCGAGCGAAGCAGUUAAGUUGAUUUCUUCGGAUUGAUUCUUAACUGACUGAGCGGCGGACGGGUGAGUAACGCGUGGGUGACCUGCCCCAUACCGGGGGAUAACAGCUGGAAACGGCUGCUAAUACCGCAUAAGCGCACAGAGCUGCAUGGCUCGGUGUGAAAAACUCCGGUGGUAUGGGAUGGGCCCGCGUCUGAUUAGGCAGUUGGCGGGGUAACGGCCCACCAAACCGACGAUCAGUAGCCGGCCUGAGAGGGCGACCGGCCACAUUGGGACUGAGACACGGCCCAAACUCCUACGGGAGGCAGCAGUGGGGAAUAUUGCACAAUGGGGGAAACCCUGAUGCAGCGACGCCGCGUGAGCGAAGAAGUAUUUCGGUAUGUAAAGCUCUAUCAGCAGGGAAGAUAAUGACGGUACCUGACUAAGAAGCC